Molecule: non-coding RNA, 112 nt
Organism: Acanthosepion pharaonis
Lineage: Eukaryota; Metazoa; Mollusca; Cephalopoda; Sepiida; Sepiidae
Source: the annotation of a GenBank genome assembly
UUACGGCCAUAUCACAUUGAAACACCAGGUCCUUCACGAUCGUCAAAGUUAAGCAACGUUGAGCCCUGUCAGUACCUAGAUGGGUGGCCGCUUGGAAAUACCACUCGCCGUC